AAACCGUGCAUAUUGCCCUGUAAG
This 24-nucleotide unclassified non-coding RNA is filed under the name Chlamydomonas reinhardtii. Its description in RNAcentral is "small RNA Cre_0019". The record is from RNAcentral. Lineage: Eukaryota; Viridiplantae; Chlorophyta; Chlorophyceae; Chlamydomonadales; Chlamydomonadaceae.